AGAGAUGGAAAAAAAACAUGACGUGUCAUCACAGAAGUGCUGAGCAGAAGAGGUAUUUUAAUUUUCAGAUCUGAAACUUCUUCUAAGAGCUUGCCUGUAAAGGACAUACUGGAAGAGCAGUCCAAAAAUCUGGAGCUUGACACUGGAAUGCACUGCAAAUUCAAUGUCAGUCAUUCAGCAGUUUUAGAUGGAGCCAUACGUGGAUUUAAAAGGGUAUUAUACAAUCCACAUUUCUCAAUGAUUGUGAAAUUCUCUGAUGAUUUUGGAAAAAAUGAAGAGGCGAUUGAUUCGGAUGGCCUACGGAGAGAAUUUUUGCGUUUACUCAUUGAAGCCUUGUCCAUGUCUCCGAUGUUUGAAGGCACAGACAAAAGCAAAAAUGUAGCUAUGAAUAGCCAAGAGGGAGGACAAGUACUUGUUGGCUGGAAGGGCAAUUGCUGUUAGCAUCGUCCAUGGAGGUCCAGCUCCACGGUUCCUUUCUCCAGUCCUUUUCACUAGCUUGGUUGGAGGUCCAAAUGUGGCUUGCCCUACUAAAAGAUGUAACUGAUGCAGACCUCCAUGAAAAACUGAAAAAGGGUAUCUGAAAGUUCCACUCUGGAGGAGCUUCUGAGAGCCACAGAUCCUCUUUUAGACUACAUGACCAAUGCAGGAUGUGUCAGACCCUUAACAACCAUUAGUGAUCGAGACCUUCUCCUGUGUGGCCUGCUGAUGUUUCAUGUUGUUCACUGGGUCCAAGGCCCCUUUCAAAGGUGUAGUUUGUUUUUAAUAUUUCUUUAAAUGCAUGAUAUAAAAUAGGCUCGGCUCAGCUCAGUUUAUCAAUCAGAGACUGGGAGUAAACGUUUGUUUGCUUAUAUAUGUUUGUACUGGUUUGAAGAAGGACUAAAGACACUUGGAGUUUUAGAUGCUGUUAAGCAACAUCCAGACAGUUUUCGCUCUUUGUUCUGCCAUGAGCCACAGCGAUUAACUGCUGACAUGAUGGAUGACCUUUUCCCCACUCGGCUUGCGCCAAAGGAAGUAACCAAAGAAGAGCAGAAGAUGCAGUUAUUCGUUUGUGAAAUGAUUAUCUGCAAGAUGCAGAAGGUAAUUUGCAAAUAUUAUCAUCGUCUGUAGCUGUUAUUAAUAUUAUAUGACUGUUAAUCAUUAACGUAUCUCUCAAAAUAGCCACACAUCAUUUGAAAGUAUGAUCAGUGGACCAUAUCCUAAAACCAUCACAUUUGGUUUGUAAUUAAACAAAAUAUUCUGAGACUAUAAUAAAACAAAAAAUUGUCAAAUAGCAGUUUUCAAAGCCCAAAUUUUCCUGUUUUUAUUUUAAAAAUUGAAAAACAAAUCUUGAAUUGUAAACCAAACUAUGAA
Molecule: long non-coding RNA, 1350 nt
Organism: Girardinichthys multiradiatus
Lineage: Eukaryota; Metazoa; Chordata; Actinopteri; Cyprinodontiformes; Goodeidae
Exons: 4
Source: RefSeq, a predicted model, not a curated record